This 491-nucleotide ribosomal RNA is filed under the name uncultured bacterium. RNAcentral's name for it is "partial 16S ribosomal RNA". It matches the Rfam family "Bacterial small subunit ribosomal RNA", at positions 29 to 507 of the family's 1533-position model. The record is from RNAcentral.
AGUGAACGCUGGCGGUAGGCCUAACACAUGCAAGUCGAACGGCAGCACAGUAAGAGCUUGCUCUUACGGGUGGCGAGUGGCGGACGGGUGAGGAAUACAUCGGAAUCUACUUUUCGUGGGGGAUAACGUAGGGGAACUUACGCUAAUACCGCCUACGACCUACGGGUGAAAGCCGGGGAACUUCCGACCUUGCCCGGAUUAAUUGGCCGAUGUCGGAUUAGCUAGUUGGCGGGGUAAAGGCCCACCAAGGCGACGAUCCGUAGCUGGUCUGAGAGGAUGAUCAGCCACACUGGAACUGAGACACGGUCCAGACUCCUACGGGAGGCAGCAGUGGGGAAUAUUGGACAAUGGGCGCAAGCCUGAUCCAGCCAUACCGCGUGGGUGAAGAAGGCCUUCGGGUUGUAAAGCCCUCUUGUUGGGAAAGAAAAGCAGCAGGUUAAUACCCCGCUGUUCUGACGGUACCCAAAGAAUAAGCACCGGCUAACUUCGUG